RNAcentral lists this ribosomal RNA (486 nucleotides) under uncultured Pedobacter sp. Its description in RNAcentral is "bacterial SSU rRNA". It matches the Rfam family "Bacterial small subunit ribosomal RNA", at positions 91 to 575 of the family's 1533-position model. Lineage: Bacteria; Pseudomonadati; Bacteroidota; Sphingobacteriia; Sphingobacteriales; Sphingobacteriaceae. The record is from RNAcentral.
GAAAGUGGCGCACGGGUGCGUAACGCGUAUGCAACCUACCUUAAUCAGGGGGAUAGCCCGAAGAAAUUCGGAUUAACACCGCAUAAAAUCACGGUACAGCAUUGUACCAUGAUCAAAUAUUUAUAAGAUUAAGAUGGGCAUGCGUGACAUUAGUUAGUUGGCGGGGUAACGGCCCACCAAGACCACGAUGUCUAGGGGAUCUGAGAGGAUGACCCCCCACACUGGUACUGAGACACGGACCAGACUCCUACGGGAGGCAGCAGUAAGGAAUAUUGGUCAAUGGAGGCAACUCUGAACCAGCCAUGCCGCGUGCAGGAAGACAGCCCUCUGGGUCGUAAACUGCUUUUAUUCGGGAAUAAACCACAUUACGUGUAGUGUGCUGAAUGUACCGAAGGAAUAAGGAUCGGCUAACUCCGUGCCAGCAGCCGCGGUAAUACGGAGGAUCCAAGCGUUAUCCGGAUUUAUUGGGUUUAAAGGGUGCGUAGG